UACAGAGGGUGCGAGCGUUAAUCGGAAUUACUGGGCGUAAAGCGUGCGUAGACGGUCAAGUAAGUCGGGUGUGAAAGCCCCGGGCUCAACCUGGGAAUUGCAUUCGAGACUGCGUGGCUAGGGUGCGGAAGAGGGAGGCGGAAUUUCCGGUGUAGCGGUGAAAUGCGUAGAUAUCGGAAGGAACACCAGUGGCGAAAGCGGCUUCCUGGUCCAGCACCGACGUUCAGGCACGAAAGCGUGGGGAGCAAACAGG
Molecule: ribosomal RNA, 253 nt
Filed under: uncultured bacterium
Lineage: Bacteria
Description: partial 16S ribosomal RNA
Rfam family: Bacterial small subunit ribosomal RNA
Source: RNAcentral